UGGGGAAUAUUGGACAAUGGGCGAAAGCCUGAUCCAGCAAUGCCGCGUGUGUGAAGAAGGUCUUCGGAUUGUAAAGCACUUUCGACGGGGACGAUGAUGACGGUACCCGUAGAAGAAGCCCCGGCUAACUUCGUGUCCAG
RNAcentral lists this ribosomal RNA (140 nucleotides) under uncultured bacterium. RNAcentral's name for it is "partial 16S ribosomal RNA". It matches the Rfam family "Bacterial small subunit ribosomal RNA", at positions 355 to 511 of the family's 1533-position model. The record is from RNAcentral.